RNAcentral lists this unclassified non-coding RNA (787 nucleotides) under Hevea brasiliensis (rubber tree). Lineage: Eukaryota; Viridiplantae; Streptophyta; Magnoliopsida; Malpighiales; Euphorbiaceae. The record is from RNAcentral.
GACUCAAGGAGCGACCGAUCUCUAUAUCAGUAGCUGGAUGAAGUCCCAACCCCGUGAUAAGGUGAUUUUGGCUACAAAAGUUUGUGGUUAUUCAGAAAGAUCAAGUUACAUACGUGAAAAUGCAAAGGUUUUGCGAGUAGAUGCUGCUAAUAUUCGAGAAAGCGUAGAAAAAAGUUUGAAACGUCUCAAUACUGAUUACAUUGAUUUACUCCAAAUACAUUGGCCAGACAGAUAUGUUCCGUUGUUCGGCGAGUUCUUUUAUGAAACUUCAAAAUGGAGGCCAAGUGUGCCUUUUGUUGAGCAGCUUAGAGCCUUUCAGGAACUCAUCGAUGAAGGAAAGGUCCGCUACAUUGGUGUUUCCAAUGAAACUUCAUAUGGAGUUAUGGAGUUUGUCCAUGCUGCAAAAGUUGAAGGAUUGCCGAAGAUUGUCAGCAUUCAGAAUAGUUACAGUCUGCUGGUUAGGUGCCACUUUGAGGUUGAUCUUGUUGAAGUAUGCCACCCAAACAACUGUAACAUUGGCUUACUAUCCUAUUCUCCACUGGCUGGGGGAACCUUAUCGGGGAAGUAUUUGGACAGUAAUUCUGAAGCUGCUAGAAAAGGAAGACUUCACCUGUUCCCAGGCUACAUGGAAAGAUACAAUAAAUCCCUUGCCAAGGAAGCAACAAAAAAGUAUGAAGAAGUGGCCAAGAAGCAUGGUCUAACGCUAGUUGAGUUAGCCCUAGGAUUUGCCCGAGACCGUCCCUUUAUGACAAGUUCAAUUAUAGGUGCAACCUCGGUGGAUCAAUUA